Aedes aegypti (yellow fever mosquito) is the source of this 46-nucleotide non-coding RNA. The record is from Rfam. Lineage: Eukaryota; Metazoa; Arthropoda; Insecta; Diptera; Culicidae.
CAAUCGGCCCUUUUCAGGGCCAACAAAAGUGUAUUUAAGAAUUUGU